UGGGGAAUAUUGCACAAUGGAGGGAACUCUGAUGCAGCGACGCCGCGUGAGUGAUGAAGGAAUUCGUUUCGUAAAACUCUGUUCUAUGGGAAGAAAAGGACUGUACCAUAGGAGAAAGCUCCGGCUAAAUACGUGCCAGCAGCCGCGGUAAUACGUAUGGAGCGAGCGUUGUCCGGAAUUAUUGGGCGUAAAGGGUGCGCAGGUGGCUUUACAAGUUGGAUGUGAAAUAUUGUGGCUCAACCACAAACGUGCAUCCAAAACUGCAAAGCUUGAGUUAAGGAGAGGUAAGUGGAAUUCCUGGUGUAGCGGUGGAAUGCGUAGAUAUCAGGAGGAAUACCGGUGGCGAAGGCGACUUACUGGACUUAAACUGACGCUCAGGCACGAAAGCGUGGGGAGCAAACAGG
This 404-nucleotide ribosomal RNA is filed under the name Fusobacteriota bacterium. Its description in RNAcentral is "Fusobacteria bacterium partial 16S ribosomal RNA". It matches the Rfam family "Bacterial small subunit ribosomal RNA", at positions 355 to 776 of the family's 1533-position model. The record is from RNAcentral. Lineage: Bacteria; Fusobacteriati; Fusobacteriota.